AUGGGGCCUCCUCCUCAAGGUCGCUGCUUCCCCUUCGGGGCCCCCUGGGCAUGGCGAAUUGGAGAGCAGAGCAUGCCCUACAUACGGCGCUCGCUUGACGCCAUGGACGACCGGGAGGGAGGCUGGAAUGGAGGAGCUGGCCUCUUAUUCUCCCUCCGGUUUGACCCCAUGAGGGCGGGCUUCGAUCGUGCUCUGGCCAGCUUCCCUGUUUCUGCGCUGAUUAGCCGCCUUCUUGGAUGGGGCAAGAACAGUGGCCAAGGGAGGCCGCAGGGGGCCGUGAUGGUCGCCGCCGCCGUUGCUCUUUACGCGGCUGCGCUCUUUGUUUCAGAUCAGCAGCCUCGCCGGCGACGCCUGGCUGCUUCUGCUGCAGCUAGGCCAACUUCUGCAACCAGACCUCGUGCUCUGCCUACGCCGGACGAUGGCCUCAGAAUUCUGUCAUCGAAUGAUGAAUAUCUGGAAAACGUGAUCCACCGCGUGUCGAUCGGUGCCGGGGACGAUGAGCCGGUUCUGGUGGCAAGAGUUCAGACCAUGCCACCCGACGUGGCUGGAGCAACCUCUGCAUGGGAAACGGAGCACGAUAGGCUGGAGAAGGAAGAGGUCGAGCGAUUCAAGCAGCUGUGGCUGUCGCUCGUGGAGCGGGAGCAGAGGCUGGAGCUCCGGCUGAUGGACCUCGACGGCCUUAUAGAGCAAGAGGCCACCGUGAAAGAGCUCGAGAACCGCGUCGGCCUCGCCGCCGUGGAGGCGCGGCUCCUGGAGCUCAAGGUCUUGUCGCUGGGUGAGGAGAACGAGAGGCUCAAGGCCCAGGCGGCGGAGCUGGAGGCCGUCCGGGCCCAGCUGGGGCGCGCCAAGGAGAAGCUGCGGGCGCUCAAGGAGCGGGUGCAGGUGGAGCGGGAGGAGUCUCAGAGCGAGGCGACGGCGCUCCGGGACAAGGUGACGGAGCUGGAAAAUACCGGCGAAAAGAGGGAGAGGGUGCUGGCGGCGGAGGCGGCGGAGCUACGGAGGGCCAAGGCCGCGCUGGAGGAGGAGAACAGGGAGCUUGCUCGGAGGUUGCGGGAUGCGGAGCAGGUCUCCUCCGCUGUUAGUUUGGUUCGUGAGGACGACAUGGUUGAUGAGGCAAGCUACCUGAGGGAGGCGAACGAGAGGCUGACGAGGCAGAUCGAGCAGCUACACAGCGACCACUGCGCGCACGUCGAGGAGCUCGUAUACCUCAAGUGGGUCAACGCCUGCCUCCGCCACGACCUCCGUGGCGGCGACCAUCACCCCUCGUCCGCCCAGCAAGAUCAGGACGGGGCUGGCAGCGCCAUGCCGUCGGCCAUGGACCUGAGCAAGAGCAUGAGCUACCGCUCCAGCGAGAAGGCCAAGGAGCUCAUGCUCCAGUAUGGCAGCCUCGGCCUCGACGGCUACGACCCCGUGCUCUUCUCGCCGCUCAACGAGUCGACAUACGGCGAUGGCGAAAGUCACCAGCAGCGCGUUGGAGAUCAGGACGAGCCAGGGCGGAGCCCGGUCGUGCCGUCGCCGGCCGCGGCCGCGGCCGCGCCCGAGCAUCGGGCCGGGCAUGGCAAGCUCAAGUUUCUGAGGAAUAUCAAGAAGCUGCUGGCGAGCAGCAGGAGGAGCCACGGCCACGACCGCAAGAGCAAGAAGGCCGCGCCGGACCACGAGCAUCUGGAGAAGGCGAUGCGGUGGCUGUCCUCCAGCAGCCACGACGCGCUCGGCGCAGACAGCUCGUACGAGAGCACGCCGCUGUCGUCGUGCGACCGGACGCCGCUGAGCAGCGUGACGACCGUGGACUUGCACGCCCGUGCGCGCGCCGGGGGGGCGCCCUCCGCGCCGAGGCUGGAGACGGAGACUAAGCUGGCGAGGUCCAAGAGCGACAAUGGCGCGUCCUUCGGGCGGGAGGCGACCAGGUACCACGCUCUCCGGCCGGACCGCCCGGCCGGUCCCGGGACAGACGGGUUACACUCGCCGGAGAAGAUUAGAAGGUACUCAGACGAGUUGACAAGCUCCUGA
This 2007-nucleotide ribosomal RNA is filed under the name Triticum aestivum (bread wheat). Its description in RNAcentral is "partial small subunit ribosomal RNA". Lineage: Eukaryota; Viridiplantae; Streptophyta; Magnoliopsida; Poales; Poaceae. The record is from RNAcentral.